ACAGAAUCCCUACAUUUUUGGUGGGCCCUUCCCUGUGGGCCUCUCACAGUACAUCCGUGCCAGAGUGAAUUGCAGCCUCCAACCAUUGCCCUGCCUCCUUAUCUGUGGGCUGUGAGCACUGAAGGGGAUUGUACGGUG
This is a small nucleolar RNA of Artibeus jamaicensis (Jamaican fruit-eating bat), 138 nucleotides long. RefSeq annotates it as small nucleolar RNA SNORA42/SNORA80 family. The record is from RefSeq and is a predicted model, not a curated record. The transcript has a single exon. NCBI's taxonomy places the organism in Eukaryota, Metazoa, Chordata, Mammalia, Chiroptera, Phyllostomidae.